This 78-nucleotide small nucleolar RNA is filed under the name Peromyscus maniculatus bairdii (prairie deer mouse). RNAcentral describes it as "Small nucleolar RNA SNORA40 (ENSPEMG00000003576.2)". It matches the Rfam family "Small nucleolar RNA SNORA40", at positions 50 to 128 of the family's 128-position model. Rfam says of the family: The snoRNA ACA 40 belongs to the H/ACA family of snoRNAs and guides the pseudouridylation of 28S rRNA subunit at position U4565. NB This family has a high threshold value to exclude a large number of closely related sequences that do not appear to have conserved H and ACA boxes, and may be pseudogenes. The record is from RNAcentral. Lineage: Eukaryota; Metazoa; Chordata; Mammalia; Rodentia; Cricetidae.
GGUACAAAAAUAAAUUCUCUUUUGCAUCCCAGAACUCAUGGUUCUGUAUGAAUUCUGAUACAUACAAGAAGGAAUAUA